AGCAAGACUCUGGAGGGAUUCAGAUGUGCUCUGUACAUCCCAGAGAAGCUCCAGUGGUACAUGAGCUCUUUCCAAUGUAGCACUAAAUGAUUCACAUCUCUCCUGUUGCUCAUUGAAUCUCCAGGGGAAGAUGUGAGUGCAAGGAGUGGCUUGUUCUGGUGGCUCUCUCUAAAAAAUAUGUAUUUAAUUAUCUUGUAGGAGGCAAGAUUGAAAAAACAGUCUCACUGCUCUGGGACCAGAAAUGAGUGGAAUUUAUCAAGGAUUCCAGGUCCUGGGAUCCUGUUCCUUUUGCAUUAUGAGAUCAGCUUUGAGAAGACUCUGCUGUCUCCUACCCAGUCAAGCUCCUCCAUUACUGUGACCACCAGCUGUGCUGUGCCAGGAGAGAAGCUGCUGGCUUUUGCUUUCACCCCUGGCUCUUUCUGCUGCCCUUUGCUGCCACAGUGAAAAGUGUGUCCAUAACUUCUGUUAGCCUUUUGAGGAAGCUUUUACUGGGCAGAGGGACGCUGAACAGUGAGUGACUCUACUGAGUUUGAGAGAUAUCCAUCUUCAGGCUCUGAAGUCAACUCUUCAGAAGUAAAGGCUGGUACCUGCUGCAGUCCUGUGUGCCUGCCUGCCUUUUGAACUCCUUCAAAGACAUCAUUGUACUUUGUCAGGAAAAUGAAGAGGGAGAUCCCUGUGUAAUCUCCACCAACACCUUUCAUUUCCCGAGAUAAAGCCAUGUAAAUGUCCAUGGAAGAGUCAAAAUUUAGGAAAGAAUUUGAGUUUCUAAUACCAUUCUCUGCAUGCACAUUGUCAGAACUCAUCCAUGAACAAUGAAAGAAACACGGCUGCUUUCCUUCAAGUGUUUUUCUCUUAAGUUAUUACUUUCAGUUGUUCUGUAAGGUCAACCAGCCAUUUUGUUCCAAAUAUUUGGCUAGGUAAUAAUUCCAAGAAAAUUGUA
Long non-coding RNA from Passer domesticus (house sparrow), 940 nucleotides. RefSeq lists it as uncharacterized. The record is from RefSeq and is a predicted model, not a curated record. Lineage: Eukaryota; Metazoa; Chordata; Aves; Passeriformes; Passeridae. The transcript has 4 exons.